GAUCGCGGCCCGGUUCCGGUAACGGUUUCCGGGGUGAGGAAAGUCCGGGCUUCACAGGGCAGGAUGCCGGAUAACGUCCGGUGGAGGCGACUCCAAGGAUAGUGCAACAGAAAUGUACCGCCAGCUUCUGACGAUGUCAGAACUGGUAAGGGUGGAAGGGCAGUGUAAGAGACUACCGCCUCACUGGUAACAGGGAGGGCAUAUGUAAACCCCAUCCGAAGCAAGACCGAAUCAAAGCGUUUACGUGGCCCGCCAGCUUUAGGUAGGUUGCUUGAGGUGGCUGGCGACAGUCAUCCUAGAUAGAUGAUCAUUCUCCCGCCUUUGGCGGGACGACAUAACCCGGCUUAUCGUCUUGCUUAU
This 360-nucleotide RNase P RNA is filed under the name uncultured Roseburia sp. Its description in RNAcentral is "Bacterial RNase P class A". It matches the Rfam family "Bacterial RNase P class A". Rfam says of the family: Ribonuclease P (RNase P) is a ubiquitous endoribonuclease, found in archaea, bacteria and eukarya as well as chloroplasts and mitochondria. Lineage: Bacteria; Bacillati; Bacillota; Clostridia; Lachnospirales; Lachnospiraceae. The record is from RNAcentral.